UACGUAGGGUGCGAGCGUUGUCCGGAAUUAUUGGGCGUAAAGGGCUCGUAGGCGGUUUGUCGCGUCGGGAGUGAAAACUCAGGGCUUAACCCUGAGCCUGCUUCCGAUACGGGCAGACUAGAGGUAUGCAGGGGAGAACGGAAUUCCUGGUGUAGCGGUGAAAUGCGCAGAUAUCAGGAGGAACACCGGUGGCGAAGGCGGUUCUCUGGGCAUUACCCGACGCUGAGGAGCGAAAGUGUGGGGAGCGAACAGG
RNAcentral lists this ribosomal RNA (253 nucleotides) under uncultured bacterium. RNAcentral's name for it is "partial 16S ribosomal RNA". It matches the Rfam family "Bacterial small subunit ribosomal RNA", at positions 524 to 776 of the family's 1533-position model. The record is from RNAcentral.